Molecule: RNA transcript, 2411 nt
Organism: Arachis stenosperma
Lineage: Eukaryota; Viridiplantae; Streptophyta; Magnoliopsida; Fabales; Fabaceae
Exons: 2
Source: RefSeq, a predicted model, not a curated record
UUUCAAUUUUAGGUUUUGUAUUUGUUCAUAUGACAAAUCUACUGAGUCUUCUUCUUCCGCCCAAUAUUAUUUUCUUCACCAAAAUCAGAUCUAGACCACGAUUUCUUCAUGGUGCAGUGAGCGUGGAAGAUCGUGAAAGAGGUGAAGUUUUAGCCACAAAUACAGUAUUGAGUUAGCAUCAAUGGCCGACACUCCUUACAACCUAAUGUCUGGGGAAAUCACGGGUCACAUGAGAACCAGGAGCUUUCAGCUGGUGAGCUUCGAAAUCUAGCUCGCAUUCUAAGCCAACUCUCGAGUUUGCAGCCACAGAGCGCGAAAUCGAGUACCAAUUUACUUGUGGAUCCAGCAAGUGUUUACUUCCUACAUCCAUGUGAGAAUCCUGGAGUUUCUAUUGUCCCAAUUGUGCUGAAUGCUAAGAACUACAAUUCCUGGUCAAGAGCUAUGAAAUUAGCGCUGAAAUCAAAGAAUAAGAUAGGUUUUGUUGAUGAAACCAUUGUGAAACCAGAUAAAAAUGAUCCUGCAUAUGUAGCAUGGGAUAAAUGUAAUACUUAUGUUGUUUCUUGGUUAAAUCUAUCAUUGAGUGCUGAGAUUGCACAGAGUGUUGUUUGGAAUGAAACUGCUGUAGAUUUAUGGCUUGAUUUGAAGCACAGGUAUUAUCAUGGAGACAGAUACAGGGUUGCUGAAUUAGAAGAAGAGUUGUAUGCUAUGAAACAAGGGAAUCUAAGCAUAACAAAUUAUUUCACCAAGUUGAAGGCUAUUUGGGAAGACAUUGACAGUUUCAAACCAGUUCCACAAUGCAAGGAAUGCUCUGAAAAAUGUGACUGUGGCUUAAGAACUAUGAGAGAUUAUCGAGAUGAAACUUAUGCAGUGAGAUUUUUAAGAGGAUUGAAUGAGCAGUAUGGGACUGUGAGAUCCCAAAUCAUGCUGAUGAAGCCUCUUCCAGACAUCAAUGAAAUUUUUCUCUACUUAUUCAGCAAGAGAGACAGUUUAAUGGAUCAGAUUUGGAGACUCAAAACUUUACAGCUUUGGCCAAUUCAAUUCAUAAUUUCAACAAUAAUUCAAGCAGUGUUUCCAGAGGAAGAGGACGAGGAAUCCGUGGAGGUAGAGGUGGAAGAGGAGGAAGAAAUUCAGCACCUAAGACCUGUUCUUAUUGUCACAAGGCAGGGCAUCUUGUGGAUACUUGUUACCACAAACAUGGAUUUCCACCUCAUCUACAGAGGCAGAAAUGGCCACGAGAGACUAGCAAUGGAGCUAUGGCCAAUAAUAUUGUUGCUGGAAUUGAAGGGAGCAGUACCAACAAUGUCAAGCAGGACAAGGAAGCUGAUGGUCAAUCCCAAUUCAAUCAGAGUUUGAGAGAUGCACUGCUUACCUUUCUUCGGCAGGAGUGUGCACGGUCUUCUCAAGGAACAAGUGUGAGAGAUGUCGAUCAAUCAAAUGCAGGAAAUUGAGGGACCCUACCUCACUUACUGAUUCACAUGUAGUUUCUCCUAGUCCACCAAAUAAUGCAUCAUCUAAUUCUCAUUCAAAUGAUAACAUGCAUCAUCAGGAUCUUAGAAGAUCAACUCGUAUACAUAAACCACCUUCUUAUCUUCAAGAUUAUCAUUGUAUGUUACUUAGAACAGGAAGCUCUAGUAACCAAUCAUGUUCCAAGCGGUACGGUCUAUCUCACAUGGUGGAUUAUGGGAAGCUAUCCCCUACCCAUAGAGCCUUUUUCCUAGCAAUAACCACAACAGUUGAACCGAAGACUUAUGAACAAGCUGUGCUGCACGAAUGCUGGAGAAAUGCAAUUAGUGCGGAAUUGCUUGCUCUUGAGAAGAAUAAAACUUGGUCUAUCACUUCUUUGCCUCUUGGAAAGCGCCUCAUUGGAUGCAAGUGGGUUUUUAAAGUGAAGUUUCACCCAGAUGGUAGUGUUGAACGCCACAAAACACGUCUUGUGGCUCAAGGUUUUCGUCAAAGAGUUGGCUAUGAUUACUUUGAUACAUUCAGUCCGGUUGUAAAAAUCACUACUUUGUGACUUAUUCUUACUCUUGCUGCGGUACAUAAUUGGAAACUUCACCAAUUAGACGUUAAUACAGCAUUUUUGCAUGGUGAGUUGCAAGAAGAGGUUUAUAUAAAACUCCCCCAAGGUCUCGAUGUUUCAAAUAGUGCUGUUUGUAAGUUGAAUCGUUCUUUAUAUGGCUUGAAACAGGCAAGCCGUCAAUGGAAUUUAAGAUUAAGUGGUUUUCUUCAGCAACAUGGCUUUAUCAAGUCUCCUCAUGAUCACUCUUUGUUCACCAAGCACACUAACCUCGGCUUGGCUAUUAUUAUUGUUUAUGUUGAUGAUCUUGUUUUAUCUGGAGAUAAUUUAUUUGAAAUUGAAGCUAUUAAAAGGGCUCUUGAUGCUGAAUUUAGUAUUAAGGACUUAGGCCGGU